CCUACGGGAGGCAGCAGUGGGGAAUAUUGGACAAUGGGGGCAACCCUGAUCCAGCCAUGCCGCGUGUGUGAAGAAGGCCCUCGGGUGGUAAAGCACUUUCAGUGAGGAAGAACGCCUGGUGGUUAAUACCCAUCAGGAAAGACAUCACUCACAGAAGAAGCACCGGCUAACUCCGUGCCAGCAGCCGCGGUAAUACGGAGGGUGCGAGCGUUAAUCGGAAUUACUGGGCGUAAAGCGCGCGUAGGUGGCUUGAUAAGCCGGUUGUGAAAGCCCCGGGCUCAACCUGGGAACGGCAUCCGGAACUGUCAAGCUAGAGUGCAGGAGAGGAAGGUAGAAUUCCCGGUGUAGCGGUGAAAUGCGUAGAGAUCGGGAGGAAUACCAGUGGCGAAGGCGGCCUUCUGGACUGACACUGACACUGAGGUGCGAAAGCGUGGGUAGCAAACAGGAUUAGAUACCCCAGUAGUC
RNAcentral lists this ribosomal RNA (465 nucleotides) under Vreelandella stevensii. Its description in RNAcentral is "partial 16S ribosomal RNA". It matches the Rfam family "Bacterial small subunit ribosomal RNA", at positions 338 to 795 of the family's 1533-position model. Lineage: Bacteria; Pseudomonadati; Pseudomonadota; Gammaproteobacteria; Oceanospirillales; Halomonadaceae. The record is from RNAcentral.